UGAUGAUGCAUUGACAUGCAGGAACAAAUCAAAUAGUUAUGUAGGUGGUCGAUCACUUGGGAGUUUGAAAGGUUAUGCUGACUUAAACGAUACUGCAGAUACAAACUCAUUGGGUAGUUGGAAAGACGGUGCAGAUGUGCAAGAGCCUUUUGAUGAGGCAUUGGCGCCCAGGAACAAAUCAGAUAACAAUGUAGGUGGUGCAGUUCACCCACUUGGGAGUUGGAAAGAUUAUGCUGACUUAAAUGAUACUGCAGAUACAAACUCAUUGGGUAGUUGGAAAGACGGUGCAGAUGUGCAAGAGCCUUUUGAUGAGGCAUUGGCGCCCAGGAACAAAUCAGAUAACAAUGUAGGUGGUGCAGUUCACCCACUUGGGAGUUGGAAAGAUUAUGCUGACUUAAAU
Molecule: unclassified non-coding RNA, 400 nt
Filed under: Hevea brasiliensis (rubber tree)
Lineage: Eukaryota; Viridiplantae; Streptophyta; Magnoliopsida; Malpighiales; Euphorbiaceae
Source: RNAcentral